Non-coding RNA from Gossypium hirsutum (cotton), 106 nucleotides. NCBI's taxonomy places the organism in Eukaryota, Viridiplantae, Streptophyta, Magnoliopsida, Malvales, Malvaceae. The record is from Rfam.
AGUCCAUGGUGUGGGAACUUCCUUAGCAUUUUCCUAAAUUGUUCCCACGCCUCAUAUAUUUAUUCACCAUUAUAUUGUUUAAAAUUGGCGAUUUCUUGCCUGAGCU